GGAUCCGAUCAUACCAGCACUAACGCAACAGAUUCCAUCAGAACUCCGCAGUUAAGCGUGUUUGGACGAGAGUAGUACUAGGUCAGUAACCCUUAGGGAGUCUUCGAGCUGCAUCCC
RNAcentral lists this ribosomal RNA (117 nucleotides) under Capsicum annuum. RNAcentral also lists the same sequence under 1 other name. The record is from RNAcentral. Lineage: Eukaryota; Viridiplantae; Streptophyta; Magnoliopsida; Solanales; Solanaceae.